This 225-nucleotide ribosomal RNA is filed under the name uncultured bacterium. RNAcentral describes it as "partial 16S ribosomal RNA". It matches the Rfam family "Bacterial small subunit ribosomal RNA", at positions 109 to 334 of the family's 1533-position model. The record is from RNAcentral.
CGGAACACGUACAGAACCUUCCUUUAAGUGGGGCAUAGCCCGAAGAAAUUCGGAUUAAUACCCCGUAACAUUAUGUUGUGGCAUCACAUUAUAAUUAUAGAUUUAUCGCUUAGAGAUGGCUGUGCGGCUGAUUAGGUAGUUGGCGGGGUAAAGGCCCACCAAGCCUUCGAUCAGUAACUGGUGUGAGAGCACGACCAGUCACACGGGCACUGAGACACGGGCCCG